GACGAACGCUGGCGGCGUGCCUAAUACAUGCAAGUCGAGCGAAGCGGCGGUCGGGUGAGUAACGCGUGGGUAACCUGCCCUUAAGUCUGGGAUACUAUUAGGAAACAGAUGCUAAUACCGGAUACUAAAGGAUGGACCUGCGAUGCAUUAGCUAGUAGGUAAGGUAACGGCUUACUAAGGCGAUGAUGCAUAGCCGGGUUGAGAGACUGAUCGGCGACUUUGGGUCUGAGAGACGACCCAGACUCCUACGAGAGGCAACAGUAUAGAAUGUUACACAAUAGGGGAAACCCGGAUGCAGCAACGCCGCGUGCGGGAUGGCGGCCUUCGGGUUGUAAGCCGCUUUCAGCCAUGACGCGGUAGUGGCAGCAGAAGCACCGGCUAACUACGUGCCAGCAGCCGCGGUAAUAC
This 408-nucleotide ribosomal RNA is filed under the name uncultured bacterium. RNAcentral's name for it is "partial 16S ribosomal RNA". It matches the Rfam family "Bacterial small subunit ribosomal RNA", at positions 28 to 526 of the family's 1533-position model. The record is from RNAcentral.